RNAcentral lists this ribosomal RNA (468 nucleotides) under uncultured bacterium. RNAcentral describes it as "bacterial SSU rRNA". It matches the Rfam family "Bacterial small subunit ribosomal RNA", at positions 333 to 793 of the family's 1533-position model. The record is from RNAcentral.
UCACUCCUACGGGAGGCAGCAGUGGGGAAUAUUGCACAAUGGGCGCAAGCCUGAUGCAGCCAUGCCGCGUGUAUGAAGAAGGCCUUCGGGUUGUAAAGUACUUUCAGCAGUGAGGAAGGCGGGUACGUUAAUAGCGUGCUUGUUUGACGUUAGCUGCAGAAGAAGCACCGGCUAACUCCGUGCCAGCAGCCGCGGUAAUACGGAGGGUGCGAGCGUUAAUCGGAAUUACUGGGCGUAAAGCGCAUGCAGGUGGUUUGUUAAGUCAGAUGUGAAAGCCCGGGGCUCAACCUCGGAAUUGCAUUUGAAACUGGCAGACUAGAGUACUGUAGAGGGGGUAGAAUUUCAGGUGUAGCGGUGAAAAUGCGUAGAGAUCUGAAGGAAUACCGGUGGCGAAGGCGGCCCCCUGGACAGAUACUGACACUCAGAUGCGAAAGCGUGGGGAGCAAACAGGAUUAGAUACCCUGGUAG